Non-coding RNA from Schizosaccharomyces pombe (fission yeast), 232 nucleotides. Lineage: Eukaryota; Fungi; Ascomycota; Schizosaccharomycetes; Schizosaccharomycetales; Schizosaccharomycetaceae. The record is from the annotation of a GenBank genome assembly.
GCAGCAAUAAGGAAUACGAGGAGGACCUACAAAACAACACGGAGUAAUUACGAGAUUAAAUUACGAAUAAUAAGUACGUUGGGUAUUAAACGAAGCAGAGAAAAUAUAAUAAAAUAGCAUCAUAUUGAGCAAAGCAACAAGAACUUCAACCACACUGCAAUAGUUUGCAACUCAGAAGAGAAAUGAGAGAUUGAGCCGAACCUGUUACAUUUACAAUAUAUCGAGAUGAGAA